RNAcentral lists this ribosomal RNA (519 nucleotides) under Triticum aestivum (bread wheat). Its description in RNAcentral is "partial small subunit ribosomal RNA". The record is from RNAcentral. Lineage: Eukaryota; Viridiplantae; Streptophyta; Magnoliopsida; Poales; Poaceae.
GAGCUCUUUUUUUGGAAUAUUAGGGGUUUUUGCGCUAGGGGGCGCAGAGAUCAAUUAAGUGAUGUGGUCAGAGGAGACAACAUUGACUUGGUAGGUUUAGUUGAAACUUUCAAAAGCUCCUUCUCUCCCGACGAGAUUUCCGUAGUUGUGGGAGCUGACAAAUUUGAUUGGAACUUUCUUCCCUCAUCUAGCCAUUCUGGUGGUAUUCUCAUCGAUUCUAAACAGGAUGUUUUUGACUUUGUGGCGUUUGACCAUGGUAUCUUUUGGGCCAGUAUAGUUGUGCACCAUCACCAGUUGAACACUCUUUGGGAGGUCAUGGUAGUCUAUGGUCCGGCGGAUCACUCCCUUUCUUCCUUAUUCCUUGACGAACUCUCCAUCAAAAUAGAAUCAUGCUCUAUUCCCCUCUUGGUUGGUGGGGACUUUAAUUUGCUUCAUUCAUCGGCAGAUAAGAACACUACCAAUUUCUCAUGGCCCCUUGCAGAUGCCUUUAAUGAUUUUAUCAGCCAAUGUGCUCUCUAA